This is a long non-coding RNA of Cygnus olor (mute swan), 2212 nucleotides long. RefSeq lists it as uncharacterized. Lineage: Eukaryota; Metazoa; Chordata; Aves; Anseriformes; Anatidae. The record is from RefSeq and is a predicted model, not a curated record. The transcript has 3 exons.
AAAAAACAGCUUCAGGAUUAAAACCACGGUCAAGCACUGCCUACGUGCCACGAGAGAAAAGCAACAUGGCCACCAGAUCAAGAUUGGAAAGAUUACACACAUGAAAGCAGUUAGAGUGGUUAAUCUGCUACUACACCUACAGUAACUGGGUGUAGCAGCACCCUUUUUAACAAUGUCAAGGUUGUAUUCAUUUAGCCAUCUGAGACACGUGAAAAGACAAACAGUUUCUGGCACUGUAAUCUACUUCAGUCUAUUUAGAGCACGUGGCUAUCUCAGCAAUGAUUCAGAGCAGGAGAAGGUUGAGGUCACUCCUCGGCCAGACUGUGACGACUUAGGACAAAAAUAUUUUAACUCCCUGUGGGUUGGGUUAGUUUUGUUUUCAAGCAUGCUGCUGGCAGGCAGAAAGCAGCCAUUUCUUUAGUUGCAGUAGAGAAGAAUGUGAUUUCUAACCUUAACAGACCUUCCUCUACCGCAGACAAUUACUCAGAAAUGCACAGCACAGCAGAUUCAGCUGGACCUGUAAUAGUAAUAAGGCGAUCCUCUGAAAAAAGCUCAGCUUCUGGUGGCUCAAGGUCUGACUGCCUGCAAACACACCCAGGUGAGCUUAGAGAACCAGACAGGGCUGCAAGGAAAUGACCCAGCAGGAAAGAAUCCAGGAGGCAUCCACAAGCUGACAAGCGGGCAGGCCAGCAGGGAGGAAGCUGCGUCUGAUGUUGGAUACUGAAAUGACGGCCUGAAGGAAAAAAAAACCCAGAAGCAGUCGCCGAUGGCGGCAAAGAAGAUGACCAGCUUUAGCACUUCCACUGGCUUUCUGCCAAAGGGUUCAACUUCAGUCCAACGGAGAAUAAACCCAGUGGGUGCUUCAGACCGCUCCUUGGGCUCGGUAGGACAGGCCCACUCGCACACGGGCAGGCAGGGGCUGAUCGCGCAGUGCAGGCCAACAGCAGCCAAGCUGGGAGGCAGCGGCAGCACACGGGUCAGCCGACUGGUCCCCCGGUCGCCUUUUUACACCUUUUGACGUCUUUAGCUAUGUGAUGUCUCUAGGUCAAAUGCCCCAAAGAGUGUAUUUGUUUUCUUAUUUCCACGUCACGGGCCUCGGCUCACCAUCUUUCUAACAGCGUUUUUUCCGAGCGCUCCCUGUAGCACCAAUCCCCAAACCACGGGGUCCGGAAAUUGGCGGCAUUUGGCAAACAGCACCGGGAACCACAGUUAAGAGAAAAUGCCAAAUUUGUUUCUUUUGCAUGGCUUGCAAUAAAGUCUGAGAGUUCUCGGUGCUCUUGUGGUGAAAACCACUGCUUUUGGCAUUGUUUAAUACACAUUAAUACAAUCACAGGAAGUGAUCGGUUGCCUGCACACAAACUUUGUGGUUAAUCUUUGAACAUUAGCCAUAGCGCUAUCUUAAAGCCUGUCUCACUACAAUACAGACUUCUUCCCCUUACAUGCUUUACUGCAAUUAUAUUGCCUACACUGACUAUUAACUAAAUUACUACUGGACUCACCAGUCCAGCUGGUGAAGGAUAAGUCCUCACAUGUAAGCCAAAUAUUGUCCAAUUUAUUCUUUCCCUUAAUGAGAAUUUCAAAUCCACAAGCAAGGAGUUCGAACAGCUAAAUGGAUGCUGGAAACUUGAGUAUUAGCAUCAAACAUAUCCAACUUACUACAUUGUUCUCCUAAAGCAUGUCUUGGACCAGUACUCUAAGAAAAAGGCAUUUUACAAAGCAGAAAUAGACUGAGGCUCAACAGCAGUGCAAAGAACCCAAGGCUGAAAUACGAGGGUUUUUUUUACACAUCUAAGAUCAGAUACAUAGUCAAAAUUUAAGUGGAAAAGCUGGACUUGUGAGCAUCAAAUUCACAGUACAAAAUGUUGUACUAACUGCUUGUCACUGAUACACUAUCCUUCUGUUCUUUGUUAAAUUAAUCUAAGUUAAUUUAGAAAGUACAUGAAAUAAAAGACUGGUCAAGUGGGCAUGACUUACCUCAAAAAGAUUUCUAACAAUUCAUAUGAUUAUUACAAUUAUUGCUUCUUUUACUGUAGGUCUGUUGAAAAGCCUGCUGUAAAAACUAGGUAACAAAACGCAUACAGCACUGACUGAUAAUAGAUAUUGCCCACAUCAGUUUAUUUGUAGCUUAACAUUUGGAUGAUGUGGUAAAUGCGGGGUUGGACUAAAUGAUAAAGGGCUCCCAUCUAACCUAAACAAUUCUGCGUGAAGUUUU